RNAcentral lists this ribosomal RNA (612 nucleotides) under uncultured bacterium. Its description in RNAcentral is "bacterial SSU rRNA". The stretch from base 1 to 518 matches the Rfam family "Bacterial small subunit ribosomal RNA", at positions 338 to 873 of the family's 1533-position model. The record is from RNAcentral.
CCUACGGGAGGCAGCAGUGGGGAAUCUUGCGCAAUGGGCGAAAGCCUGACGCAGCCAUGCCGCGUGAAUGAUGAAGGUCUUAGGAUUGUAAAAUUCUUUCACCGAGGACGAUAAUGACGGUACUCGGAGAAGAAGCCCCGGCUAACUUCGUGCCAGCAGCCGCGGUAAUACGAAGGGGGCUAGCGUUGCUCGGAAUUACUGGGCGUAAAGGGAGCGUAGGCGGAUAGUUUAGUCAGAGGUGAAAGCCCAGGGCUCAACCUUGGAAUUGCCUUUGAUACUGGCUAUCUUGAGUACGGAAGAGGUAUGUGGAACUCCGAGUGUAGAGGUGAAAUUCGUAGAUAUUCGGAAGAACACCAGUGGCGAAGGCGACAUACUGGUCCGUUACUGACGCUGAGGCUCGAAAGCGUGGGGAGCAAACAGGAUUAGAUACCCUGGUAGUCCACGCUGUAAACGAUGAGUGCUAGUUGUCGGCAUGCAUGCAUGUCGGUGACGCAGCUAACGACAUAAGACACUCCGCCGUCGGGGUAGGUACGGUCGGCGAGAAGUUAAAACGUUAAAACGGUAAGUUAGUACGGACGUGAGACGUGCCGACGGACGACGACGAGGGAGAGG